GGGGCCGACCUGGUUUCGACAGCGGCUUCGUGAUGCUGGUAAGCAUGCCGAGCGAUGGGGACAGGCUCUUCAAAACGAUCCCCGCGCCAUAACCGGCGACUACAGCUACGCUCUCGCUGCCUAAUAGCCUCAGGCUAUGAAGCUUCAUCCGCGCGAACAACAGUAACGCGGACGAGUACUCCUCGGAACGACACGUCGUCCACGUUCCGGAUCAGGGGUAUCAGCUUGGAAGACUGGUCAACACGGUGAUCCGGAGUGUUGAUGAGAGAACAGGGUCUAAGUCCACGUUAGGGUGCCACUUCCCGGGCGCGGAUCGAAAACCAACAAGACGGCUAAGCAUGUAGAAAGCCCGCGUUGCGGUCGUUUGGACGAGGGUUCGAAUCCCUCCGGCUCCAC
Molecule: transfer-messenger RNA, 396 nt
Filed under: Bacteroidota bacterium
Lineage: Bacteria; Pseudomonadati; Bacteroidota
Also listed under: 1 other name
Description: Bacteroidetes bacterium (activated sludge metagenome) transfer-messenger RNA
Rfam family: transfer-messenger RNA
About the family: Bacterial tmRNA, also known as 10Sa RNA or SsrA, is named for its dual tRNA and mRNA-like properties.
Source: RNAcentral